ACCGGCUAACUCCGUGCCAGCAGCCGCGGUAAUACGGAGGGUGCGAGCGUUAAUCGGAAUUACUGGGCGUAAAGCGCAUGCAGGUGGUUUGUUAAGUCAGAUGUGAAAGCCCGGGGCUCAACCUCGGAAUUGCAUUUGAAACUGGCAGACUAGAGUACUGUAGAGGGGGGUAGAAUUUCAGGUGUAGCGGUGAAAUGCGUAGAGAUCUGAAGGAAUACCGGUGGCGAAGGCGGCCCCCUGGACAGAUACUGACACUCAGAUGCGAAAGCGUGGGGAGCAAACAGGAUUAGAUACCCUGGUAGUCCACGCCGUAAACGAUGUCUACUUGGAGGUUGUGGCCUUGAGCCGUGGCUUUCGGAGCUAACGCGUUAAGUAGACCGCCUGGGGAGUACGGUCGCAAGAUUAAAACUCAAAUGAAUUGACGGGGGCCCGCACAAGCGGUGGAGCAUGUGGUUUAAUUCGAUGCAACGCGAAGAACCUUACCUACUCUUGACAUCCAGAGAACUUUCCAGAGAUGGAUUGGUGCCUUCGGGAACUUUGAGACAGGUGCUGCAUGGCUGUCGUCAGCUCGUGUUGUGAAAUGUUGGGUUAAGUCCCGCAACGAGCGCAACCCUUAUCCUUGUUUGCCAGCGAGUAAUGUCGGGAACUCCAGGGAGACUGCCGGUGAUAAACCGGAGGAAGGUGGGGACGACGUCAAGUC
Molecule: ribosomal RNA, 700 nt
Filed under: Vibrio vulnificus
Lineage: Bacteria; Pseudomonadati; Pseudomonadota; Gammaproteobacteria; Vibrionales; Vibrionaceae
Description: bacterial SSU rRNA
Rfam family: Bacterial small subunit ribosomal RNA
Source: RNAcentral